AGCGACUGGGUAUAUGGGGUUCAGGCAAGAGGUAAAGCUUAGGAAGAAAAAGGAAAAAAGAGGAUUUGUUGGCAUCUGCAUACAGGUGGUAAUUGAAACCAUAAUGUAUAAUGUAUAAACUCCAAAAGAGAGUUAGCAGACUAUAAAAAACAGAAAAACAGAAGAAAAGAAAAAUGCAUAGGAAAGAGUCCUGGGGGACAGAAUAUUGAAGCGUGAGUAGGAAAAAAGAGAACUCAAAAAUGCAAUUAAUACAGGAGCAGCCAAAAAAUCGAGAAGGAAGGGGAGUGUUCAAAGGGUCCAUUACUGCUGAGUGACAAUGCCCAGUGGACUUAGGAGCCCAUAGGUCGUGAGUGCCUGGGAUGAAGGGUACAUUCAAGGGUGCACCUAGAGCCUAAGGAAGAAAGGAAGACUGCACUGGGAUGAGGAGUGAGGGGGAGAUGCCGGAAGGGAGGUGGGAAGUGCCAUUAUUUUGCUGUUUCAAGAGUCAUAUGCAAGGUGAGGUAUAGAAAGAGAAAAGCCUGAGAAGUUGAAAAGGGCCAUGUCCGGAGGGCCUUGUGUGCCAAACCAAAGGGAGGUGCAUUUUACCCUACAGAAAAUGCAGAACAGGUAGUAAAGUCCACAGAAUAGAAACCAGCUUUGACAACAACAAGGAGGAUGGGAUUAGUGUGGGAUGAGAAACUGGUCAAGGAGGCUGGUUAACACAAAGAUUUUGUCGAUGAUGGGGUUGCACACAGAUGUGCUCAGGCAGUUUGCUAUUGAAAAUAUUGUACUAAAAGUUGCACCAGGCUGAAAUAAAUGGGAACAGAUUCAAGUUAACCUCUUUAAUGGUCCCACUCUUACUUUUAUUCCAGGAUGUUUUCUAGUGGCAGGGGAAAGAAAGGACUGGAAUUAUAGCCUCAACCUCUAUGAUUGUACUUGACAUUGACUAUGCCUGAGGGAAUGAAUCACAUGUGUAAACAUCAUCCAUCCUCUGAAAAAAGUGGAGGACCAUUGAGUUAGAGAAAUUUGCAGUCACUGAGGUAGAGAUGACUAGAUCCUAAUUAGGCGUGAUCAACAGAGAUGGUAAAGACAGAAAGGAUUGUUGGAGUGAAGUUCAGAGUUAGAAACAGGACUUAGAAACCAACUGGAUGUGAGAGGUGAGACACUGUCCUUGGAAUAGCAAUAUUCCUUAUUAAGUAUUUUAGUCUAUAGGGAACUCCAAUAGGAAGGUAUGUAACGUAUAUUAUCCCAUUUCAUCUUCUGAAUAGCCUUGCAAAAUAGGUAUUUUUUUUUUUAAUUCUCAUUUUACGGAAAAUGAAACUGGAGUUUAGAGAAUUAAAGUAACUUUUCCAGGGUCAUCCAGAUUUUAAGUCCCAUAGGGAAAAUUCAAAUCCAGACUUACCUGAUUCAAAAAGCACUAAUAUUCUGCAGUGCAUAGGGUCUAAAUGAGUCACAUUUGUGUCGCAUAGUGUAGUGUAACAUGAAAUUCAGAUGGUAAAUACAAGAUGAGGAGCAGGUUUAGGGGGGAAUGUUGAGUUGAAUUUUAAGUGUAUUCUGUUUUUUAAAGCCUGGAGAAUAUCCCUGGUGAAGAUGUCUAAUAGAUAGUUACAUAUAUAAGUCUAGAAUUUAGGGGCAAUGUCUGGGAGAAGAUAAAGAUUUGUGAGACAUUAGCAUUUAAAUUGUUGUUCAAGUCAUGGGAAUGGAUGAGAUUUCCCAGGGAGGCUGCAACAUGAGAAGAGAAUCAAGUGGAGAGCUACGAAGCACUAAAAUUAAAAAGGAGGUCAGAGAAAAGGAUCAGUGGAGGAGACAGAGAAGGAAUGUUAAUACAAGUUAGAGAGGAGUAACAGAGGCUGAUAUCACACUGAAGCAGAAGAGAGGUGCCAGAGAGGGGAGUGAAGGAAUGUUAUCCAAUGCCACGGAGUGCCCAGAGAUGACUGAAAGAGUCCACUAGAUUAAGAGGAUUGUAAAUGAGAAAUACAAGUUAAAACAGCAGGAGAUUUAAUUUUAAAUUAUAACAGUAUUGCCUAAAGUCUGGAAAUAUACAGCUUGUGGGAAAGAAAGGUAGCAACUUUUAGAAGGUCAAUUGCCAAUGCAUCUGAAAAGCCAGCAUUCUCUUUCUAGGGGUUUUUCUAAGGAAAAAUAAGAAAUGAGGACAUCCAUGCAGCAUUAUUUAGGGUAGCAACCAUAUCGCAGUAGUUAAGAACAUUAACUCUAGAGCCAGACAACCUGAGUUGAAAUCUGCCACUUAGUAGCUCUGUGACCUUGGGUAAGUUUCUUAACCUUUCUGUGCUUCAGUUUCCUUAUCUGUAAAAGGGUUAUCAUUAUCAAUAAGGCUGUUACUGCCUAAUUGGGUUUGACAAGAAUUAAGUGAAUAGAUACUGUAUUUAUAUUAUUUGUUAUAUUAAUAUAGAUAAAAAUAAUUAAAAUAUUCAAUGGUAAGAUUGAUGACAAAAACACAUCAAUGCUUUAUGAUAAUAUGCCACCCCGAACAUUUAUGUGAUUAACUAACAUUAUGGAAAGGUAUUAAUAGAUUAUUAUUAGAAAAAGUUGUAAACUAAAUGACUAGAAUAAUUCCAUUUGUGAGUAAACAAUGUGUACAUAAGAAUUGGACGUGUGUGACAAUUUUUAAAAAGCCACUAUCAAAGUGCCUGUAUCUGAGUGGUUGGAUUAUGCAUUUUAUUUCACUUUUAGAGUUUCACACAUUUCUAUAUUUUAUAUAGAUGCAAUACAUUAUUUUUAUAAGAAAAAAAAAUUUAAAUUAAAAUUAAAAAUCCUAGAGGUCAGAAUAUAGAAUAAAUAUAUAAUUAUUUCUUGACAGGACUUGCCUGUGAAAGGAAAUAGAGUAAGAGCCUAGUAGAGCAUUUUUAUAACCAGCGGAGAAAUAGCAUGUAUAAAAUGUUUUACAGAUUCUGUCACCUGAGAGGCUUCCUGUAAAUGAGGGAUGCUGUUAUUAUUAUUAAUUAUCAUUAAAAUUUCUCUAGCCUCAGACAUUUAGUACGAGAACAACUCUACUGAGUAGCCAAAGGCAAGAGGAAAAAGAAGAAUUAAAAAUAGGGAGCAUUCUAGAAAGAAUUUUCUUUGUAAGGUGUUCAGGACCCUGUACCCUGUUGUCAGAGCAGUGUCCAGAGCUAAUUAUCUACAGGCACAGACUCAGGAAUAGAGAAGAUAAGACCCAAGGUGCCAGAUAAUUUGUAAAGGAGCCAAGAUAAGUAAGAAUAUAUUGUUUUAAGAGCUUUCUUCCCACUUGUCAAUUAUACAAACUUGUUUUAGUAUCUAACCAUUUGGGCUACACAUCUGCCUUAUCUCUCUGAUAAUAUAGAUUAUAAACCCCAAUAAAUACUUUUAGUAUCUCAGUCUCUCAUAGCACCAAGAAAUCAGAAGUUCAAAAUGAAAUGAGUUUUUUUUUUUUAAAUAGGCCUUUAAAAUUAUUUUAGGGGCUAAUUGAAAUGAUUUUUAAAGUGGUGAGUUUGCUGUUCAGGCUAUUCAUUGCUCAAGCAGGAUUUAUUGAAUAUAUCAGAUUAUUAGCACAGGAAUAAGCAGUAUAAGAUGGAUAUAACCCAUAUAUUUAUUGGGGCUUAUACUCUAUACUAACAGAGAGAUAAAGCAGGAAACCUGCACCAUAUCUCUUAUCCAAGAACACCAAGAACACAAUUCAGUUCCCUAGAAGUUUUUAAUUUUAAUAAUUAUGUUCUAAAAAACCACUCCUGAAGCAGUUAUAUCGUCAGAUUAGAACAGUAUGAAAGUAGAAGUGCCUAUACUUGUAAUCUGUUUUUAACAAAAGUGAUUUGAAAUGGGAUGAAAACACAACUUUAAAAAGUAAUCCAGAGUAUAUGGUACAUAUGCUUCAGAAUAAAGAUAAACAUACCCUUUAAAGAGGAGUUAAAUUCAAAGCCAUUUCCUUCAAGUUUUGAGUCAGUGGCUUAACAAGUUAGCAAUUGUCUUAAAAUUUUAGACUAGGGUAAUAAGCCUGUUCAGGUCCCUUAAACUUUCUAGAUAUUUUAGUCUGCACAUUCAAAAGAAACAGAGCCAUAUUAUCUAAACAGACAAGUCUAACAAUUUCAAAGUUCAGGUAGACGUAAAACACAAAAGAAGGACUUAUCACUACAUUAGUGGUUUGCCACAACUCCAUAACUAAGCCCCCGACUUCCCUGUCCCCUUUCUUCAGGCCUGCCACCUCAUCCUACUCUAUAGACAAACAAGCUCUCCAAUCUAAUUCUUAUCAAGAUGGAAACAAGGCCAGACCUGCUCUUCUAGAUAAAAUGCUUUGGCUUCUAACUGCCUGGCUGCUUAUCUUUCAUCUUGCAGUGUUAACCAUAACCCUUUUCCUGACCUGCUCUACUUCUUGUUUUCAGAUGAGCAGUGAGGACUGGGGAAAAAACAUUCUUAAAUGGACAAGUUCACUCUCUCACCUCCCUCUCCAUUCCUUUUAAAGUCUGUUCAAACCUCUUUCUGUUCAAAUUCUCUUUCCAAAAUGACCACAAAUCACAUUCCAUGCACGACAUGUAAUUUAAUAUAUUUCUAAGUCUCUCUGGUUCAACUGUUACUCUGUCCACUCUGUAUCAUCAUACACGUUUUUUGUUGUUUUUUUAAAAUUAAAAUUUCUGGUUGAUUUUUUGUGGGAAGAAGAUUGGGUUUUCUAAGGAAGAGCUGAGUCCCUUUUGUCCCUUUUUGCCUGCCCAGGUCCUAAUAAGCUGAAUCAUCUUCUUGGCUAAGCUGUUUGGUUUGGCUUACCUGAAUUCUUGUGUUUUCAUCCAAACAAAGCAUUGCUCUUUCCUGCUCUUUCCUGAGCAGGUGAAAGUUAAUGCAAUAAGGACCUUGAACAGUCAGGCUGUCUCGCUAUGUGAGGUUAAUUGUGGCACUACAUGUCUUUGACCCUCGUUCCUCAUACGCAAAGUGGAAAGAUAAAAAAAAUAAGUUAGUUGUCUUCUACUCACGAGAAUUCUAGGAAACCCAAUUCUCUGGGACUUCGAAAUGAAGUUGAACGGUGUGAGAUUGCACAGGCCCCCGGUAUUGUAAAUACCCCACUCUGGUUAUGACACCUUUACCCCACACAAAUUCAUGUACCUGAACCUGCAUGUCCUUGAAAACACAGGAGAUUUUCCAAAAGCACUUGCAUUCUUUCUACUAACACAAUGUGCUGGGGUAUUUUUUGUCUUAAUUUUUAUGUUUAGCAGCAUUUAUAAAUAAAUCUACAUUACAUAUCAGAAAAUUAUCUCAUAGGGGCCCUGCUCUGAGUCAGGUAUUCCAUUUUGUUUUUUCAGCUUGGAAAAAGUUGAAUUUGGAAUUAUACUGCUUUCUUUUCAUUUUUUAUUUUCUUGCUGCAAAUUUGAUUCUAAUUAACCCUUUAAAGCCAGUUUAACUAUGUUAAGGUUAUUAUUAUUGGGGAAAUAGUAUUACUGAAUUCAAAUUUAAAUACAUAUUUAUAUGCUUACUCUGUAUAAGGCAUAUUGUCAGCUGCUAAUGGAAAAAGGAGAAAUACCUACCUUUAAAGAAUUAAUAAGUUUAUGCCAGAAUAACUGAUCAUGCUAUUUUCCCUAUGACAUUUUCAUAAUAUUAAUGAUUUGGUGUUUAGGAUUACCACAUUCUUGAAAACCAGGAGAAGAUGAUUCCUAGUUUACAUCCCUCUGUGUGUAGAAAGGUUGUAAUGUUUCCUUUAUUCUUAAAAAAACUGAUCUUCAAGUAUUAUUUUCCUUAAAGAAUUAUAAGUAUUAGAAAAUGUUUUAUUUCUUAUCUCUUCUACAAAAUAUUAUAAGGAAGCAAAGCUUUAGAGUUUGUUUCAAUUUUAAAAAAUGUUACUUUCCCAUGACUUUUUUUUUUUUUUUUUUUUUGUCUUUUUUGUCUUUUGAGGGUCACACCCACAGCAUAUGGAGAUUCCCAGGCUAGGGGUCGAAUUGGAACUAUAGCCACCGGCCUACACCACAGCCACAGCAACGUGGGAUCCGAGCCUUGUCUGUGAUUUACACCACAGCUCACGGCAAUGCUGGAUCCUUGACCCACUGAGCGAGGCCAGGGAUCAAACCCACAAACUUAUGGUUCCUAGUCUGGUUAGUUAACCACUGAGCCACGACGGGAACUCCUCCCAUGACUUUCAAUUAAAGCUAGGAAGUCAAAAGAGUAUCUGUAGUAAGUUGAAUUUAACUAUGUUUGCUGAACUUUUAAUCAAAGAAAGAAAGAGGAUCUUUAUAACCUAUCACUUCUGAAAAUUCUCCUUUAGUAGACUGUAGUCCAAGGAAUAUGCCCUCUUCACUGUAGAAUGCUAGUCCAAUUCAUCUAUUUAUCUCAGAGACAUGAGAGAACAUUCACUAGAUCUUAUUUUUGUUUUUGUCAUUUUUAUAACCUAUAGUAGGCUCUUGUAUGAAUAUAGGGCAAGGGACAAGUUUAAAUAAAAUAAAAUUUCAGUGUCAAAUGAUUAGAUCCCUUUAAAUUCACAGAAAACUCUAAAGGUAUGGUUUAAAUAGAGUAAUAGGAUUGGGGAACCAAAUUCUAUGAUGGUUCCUGAAUUUCACUACCUUUCUACAAAAGUCUUUAAGUGAAUGUUACUUAAAAUUCCAUUCUACUUAGAAAAUACUUGGGUUUUUUGUUUGUUUGUUGUUGUUGUUGUUUUUGCUUUUUAGGGCCCACCCGAGGCAUGUGGAGGUUCCCAGGCUAGGGGUUGAAUCAGAGCUGUAGUUGCCAGCCCACACCAUAGCAACACAAGAUCCAGCAGAGUCUAAAACCUACACCACAGCUCUUGGCAACGGUAGUACUGGAUCCUUAACCCACUGAGCAAGGCCAGGGAUUGAACCUGCGUCCUCAUGGAUGCUAGUCAGAUUCGUUAACCACUGAGCCACACUGGGGACUCCCAGAAAAUACUUGUUUAAAUAAAAUAAAAAUUAGCUAGCUUCUGGGAGUUCUCACUGUAGCUCAGUGGUAAUGAACCCAUCUAGUAUACAUGAGGAUGCAGGUUUAAUCCCUGCCCUUACCCAGUGGGUUAAAGGAUCUGGCAUUGCUGUGAGCUAUGUUGCAGGUCGCAGACUCUGGCUGGGAUCCCAUGUUGCUGUGGCUGUGGCCGGCAACUGUAGCUCUGAUCUGACCCCUAGCCUGAGAACUUC
Molecule: long non-coding RNA, 7070 nt
Filed under: Sus scrofa (pig)
Lineage: Eukaryota; Metazoa; Chordata; Mammalia; Artiodactyla; Suidae
Description: lncRNA (ENSSSCG00000063283.1)
Source: RNAcentral